GAAAGUUUGACUGAGUGGUUUAAAGUGUAAUAUUUGAGCUAUUAUAAAUCUUUAUGAUUUCAUAGGUUCGAAUCCUAUAACUUUCG
RNAcentral lists this transfer RNA (86 nucleotides) under Eremothecium gossypii ATCC 10895. RNAcentral's name for it is "Ashbya gossypii ATCC 10895 tRNA". It matches the Rfam family "tRNA". Rfam says of the family: Transfer RNA (tRNA) molecules are approximately 80 nucleotides in length. Their secondary structure includes four short double-helical elements and three loops (D, anti-codon, and T loops). The record is from Rfam by way of RNAcentral. Lineage: Eukaryota; Fungi; Ascomycota; Saccharomycetes; Saccharomycetales; Saccharomycetaceae. RNAcentral also lists the same sequence under 1 other name.